RNAcentral lists this ribosomal RNA (2913 nucleotides) under Erysipelothrix sp. Poltava. Its description in RNAcentral is "Bacterial large subunit ribosomal RNA". It matches the Rfam family "Bacterial large subunit ribosomal RNA". Lineage: Bacteria; Bacillati; Bacillota; Erysipelotrichia; Erysipelotrichales; Erysipelotrichaceae. The record is from Rfam by way of RNAcentral.
GAUUAAAUAUGUAAGGGCGUACGGUGGAUGCCUAGGCACUAAGAGCCUGAUGAAGGACGCGACUAACAGCGAAAUGCCUCGGGGAGUGGUACGUACACAACGAUCCGGGGGUAUCCGAAUGGGGAAACCCAAUACUGGUUAUGCAGUAUUACACAUAAAUGAAUACAUAGUUUAUGAUGAGGCAACCUUGCGAACUGAAACAUCUUAGUAGCAAGAGGAAAAGAAAACAAAAGUGAUUCCCUGAGUAGUGGCGAGCGAAACGGGAAAAGCCCAAACCAUCUUCGUGAUGGGGUAGUAGGACCACAACGUGGGAUAUCGAAGUCUAGUCGAAUGGCAUUGAAAGGCCAGUCAAAGAAGGUGCAAACCCUGUAGACGAAAGCGUAAGAUACUCUAGUGGUAUCCUGAGUACGGCGAGGCACGAGAAACCUUGUCGGAAUCAACCGGGACCACCCGGUAAGGCUAAAUACUCCUUAGUGACCGAUAGUGAACCAGUACCGUGAGGGAAAGGUGAAAAGAACCGCGGAAGCGGAGUGAAAUAGAUCCUGAAACCGUAUGCUUACAAGAAGUCAGAGCCCGUUAAUGGGUGAUGGCGUGCCUUUUGUAGAAUGAACCGGCGAGUUACUCAUAAUGUGCGAGGUUAAGUUGAAGAGACGGAGCCGAAGCGAAAGCGAGUCUUAAUAGGGCGAUAUAGUACAUUGUGGUAGACCCGAAACUGAGUGAUCUAGCCAUGACCAGGUUGAAGUUUGGGUGAAACCAAAUGGAGGACCGAACCGACCAUCGUUGAAAAGUCUGGCGGAUGAGUUGUGGCUAGCGGAGAAAUUCCAAUCGAACUCAGAUAUACUUGGUUCUCCCCGAAAUAGGCUUUUAGGGCUAGCGUCAAUGUAAGGCCACUGGAGGUAGAGCACUGAAUGUAUGAUGGCCCCAUCUCGGGGUACUGAAUAUAAUCAAACUCCGAAUGCCAGUGGAUAGUAGUUGGCAGUCAGACUAUGGGUGAUAAGGUCCGUAGUCGAAAGGGAAACAGCCCAGACCAUCAGUUAAGGUCCCAAAAUUCAUGCUAAGUGGAAAAGGAUGUGGGGAUGCACAGACAACUAGGAGGUUGGCUCAGAAGCAGCCAUCCUUUAAAGAGUGCGUAACAAGCUCACUAGUCGAGUGACCCUGCGCCGAAAAUGUACCGGGGCUAAGUAUGAUACCGAAACUAUGGAUUUAUUGUUUCAAUAAAUGGUAGGGGAGCGUUCUAUACUGCGUUGAAGUUUGUACCGUAAGGAGCAGUGGAGUGUAUAGAAGUGAGAAUGCCGGUGUGAGUAGCGAGAUGUCAGUGAGAAUCUGACACACCGAUUGCCUAAGGUUUCCAGGGGAAGGCUCGUCCUCCCUGGGUAAGUCGGGACCUAAGAUGAGGCUGAAAAGCGUAGUCGAUGGACAACAGGUUGAUAUUCCUGUACCCGAUACAUAAGUGAAGGAAUGACAGAGAAGGCUAGGUUAUGCCAGCGACUGGAAGUGCUGGUUUAAGCGAAGGAGCCUGUAUGGUAGGCAAAUCCGCCAUGCAAAGCAAAGGCGUUACGAGGAGUGAACCCGUGAGGAAGUAGCGAAGUAACUGAUGCCAGGCUCUCAAGAAAAGUUUCUAGCGUUAAUUAUGUAUUGGCCCGUACCAAAACCGACACAGGUAGGCAAGGAGAGAAUCCUAAGGUGAGCGAGAGAACUGUUGCCAAGGAACUCGGCAAAAUGACCCCGUAACUUCGGGAGAAGGGGUGCUCGUAAGAGCCGCAGUGAAGAGGCCCAAGCGACUGUUUAACUAAAACACAGGCUCUCUGCAAAGUCGCAAGACGAAGUAUAGGGGGUGACACCUGCCCGGUGCUGGAAGGUUAAGGGAAUAUGUUAGAAUUCGUUCGAAGCAUUGAACUGAAGCCCCAGUGAACGGCGGCCGUAACUAUAACGGUCCUAAGGUAGCGAAAUUCCUUGUCGGGUAAGUUCCGACCCGCACGAAAGGUGUAACGAUUUGGGCGCUGUCUCGGCAGCAGACUCGGUGAAAUCUUAGUACCGGUAAAGAUGCCGGUUACCCGCAACUAGACGGAAAGACCCCAUGGAGCCUUACUGUAGGCUUGAUAUUGAACUUUGAGCCUACAUGUACAGGAUAGGUGGGAGACUAUGAAGCAUGUACGCUAGUAUAUGUGGAGUCGCCAUUGGGAUACCACUCUUGUAUGUUUGAAGUUCUAACCGCGUACCGUGAUCCGGUACCGGGAGAGUGUCAGGUGGGCAGUUUGACUGGGGCGGUCGCCUCCUAAAGAGUAACGGAGGCGCCCAAAGGUACCCUCAGAUUGGUUGGAAAUCAAUCGACGAGCGUAAAGGCAGAAGGGUGCUUGACUGCGAGACCUACAAGUCGAGCAGGGACGAAAGUCGGGCUUAGUGAUCCGGCGGUUCCGAGUGGAAGGGCCGUCGCUUAACGGAUAAAAGUCUACCCUGGGGAUAACAGGCUAAUCUCGCCCAAGAGUUCACAUCGACGGCGAGGUUUGGCACCUCGAUGUCGGCUCAUCGCAUCCUGGGUCUGAAUUAGGUUCCAAGGGUUGGGCUGUCCGCCCAUUAAAGCGGUACGCGAGUCUGGGUUCAGAACGUCGUGAGACAGUUCGGUCCCUAUCUGUUGUGGGCGUAGGAAAUUUGAGGAGCGCUGUCCCUAGUACGAGAGGACCGGGAUGGACAUACCGCUGGUGUACCAGUUGUUCUGCCAAGGGCAUCGCUGGGUAGGCUAAGUAUGGACUGGAUAAGCGCUGAAAGCAUCUAAGCACGAAGCCAACUCCAAGAUGAGAUUUCCCAUACGUAAGUAGUAAGACCCCUGAGAGACGAUCAGGUUGAUAGGUCAGAGGUGGAAGCAUAGUGAUAUGUGGAGCCUGACUGAUACUAAUAGGUCGAGGUUUUAAUCAC